Molecule: ribosomal RNA, 468 nt
Filed under: uncultured bacterium
Lineage: Bacteria
Description: partial 16S ribosomal RNA
Rfam family: Bacterial small subunit ribosomal RNA
Source: RNAcentral
GACGAACGCUGGCGGCGUGCUUAACACAUGCAAGUCGAACGGAAAGGCCCUGCUUUUGUGGGGUGCUCGAGUGGCGAACGGGUGAGUAACACGUGAGUAACCUGCCCUUGACUUUGGGAUAACUUCAUGAAACUGGGGCUAAUACCGGAUAGGAGCUCCUGCUGCAUGGUGGGGGUUGGAAAGUUUCGGCGGUUGGGGAUGGACUCGCGGCUUAUCAGCUUGUUGGUGGGGUAGUGGCUUACCAAGGCUUUGACGGGUAGCCGGCCUGCGAGGGUGACCGGGCACAUUGGGACUGAGAUACGGCCCAGACUCCUACGGGAGGCAGCAGUGGGGAAUAUUGCACAAUGGGCGGAAGCCUGAUGCAGCAACGCCGCGUGCGGGAUGACGGCCUUCGGGUUGUAAACCGCUUUCGCCUGUGACGAAGCGUGAGUGACGGUAAUGGGUAAAGAAGCACCGGCUAACUACGUG